RNAcentral lists this ribosomal RNA (789 nucleotides) under uncultured Staphylococcus sp. RNAcentral describes it as "bacterial SSU rRNA". It matches the Rfam family "Bacterial small subunit ribosomal RNA", at positions 131 to 906 of the family's 1533-position model. Lineage: Bacteria; Bacillati; Bacillota; Bacilli; Caryophanales; Staphylococcaceae. The record is from RNAcentral.
UAUAAGACUGGGAUAACUUCGGGAAACCGGAGCUAAUACCGGAUAACAUUUAGAACCGCAUGGUUCUAAAGUGAAAGAUGGUUUUGCUAUCACUUAUAGAUGGACCCGCGCCGUAUUAGCUAGUUGGUAAGGUAACGGCUUACCAAGGCGACGAUACGUAGCCGACCUGAGAGGGUGAUCGGCCACACUGGAACUGAGACACGGUCCAGACUCCUACGGGAGGCAGCAGUAGGGAAUCUUCCGCAAUGGGCGAAAGCCUGACGGAGCAACGCCGCGUGAGUGAUGAAGGGUUUCGGCUCGUAAAACUCUGUUAUUAGGGAAGAACAAAUGUGUAAGUAACUGUGCACAUCUUGACGGUACCUAAUCAGAAAGCCACGGCUAACUACGUGCCAGCAGCCGCGGUAAUACGUAGGUGGCAAGCGUUAUCCGGAAUUAUUGGGCGUAAAGCGCGCGUAGGCGGUUUCUUAAGUCUGAUGUGAAAGCCCACGGCUCAACCGUGGAGGGUCAUUGGAAACUGGGAAACUUGAGUACAGAAGAGGAAAGUGGAAUUCCAUGUGUAGCGGUGAAAUGCGCAGAGAUAUGGAGGAACACCAGUGGCGAAGGCGACUUUCUGGUCUGUAACUGACGCUGAUGUGCGAAAGCGUGGGGAUCAAACAGGAUUAGAUACCCUGGUAGUCCACGCCGUAAACGAUGAGUGCUAAGUGUUAGGGGGUUUCCGCCCCUUAGUGCUGCAGCUAACGCAUUAAGCACUCCGCCUGGGGAGUACGACCGCAAGGUUGAAACUCAGAG